This 1533-nucleotide long non-coding RNA is filed under the name Marmota monax (woodchuck). Lineage: Eukaryota; Metazoa; Chordata; Mammalia; Rodentia; Sciuridae. The record is from RNAcentral.
CGCACAGUGGCCUUGUCCUCUUAAGCUGGUGUGGAAGUGGCCCAGGCUCUGUGACUUUCCUUUCAAUCAGCACCUGGGUUUGAGCCCGCCUGGAGCUCUGACUGACAGGCAGGUGUAUCAGCCAGUCACACUGGGGGCUGUGACAAGCAGUCCCAGGCUCUGUUGACAGUGGGACUCUCCUCAGGUCUCAGGACCAGAUCCCUCCAACUGUGGGUGACACUGAGUACUCCAAGACCGGGCCUCUGCAGCUUCCAUGGGGAGGAGGAGGACAGGUAGUUUGUCAGAGACUGACCACUUCAGUUUGGAAGUGACAGUACAUCUUUCUGAUCCCAAAGCUGGACAUUUGGCCUGACCUGUAUGCGGUCUGGUGGAGGGCAAGUGCAGUCCUUGCUGGACCCCCACCUAUGGGGCCAGGCUGCUCAUGUGUGCUGAUGACAGCUCACCAUCUCCACCCUGGGCCUUUGGGGCCAGCUGAGUGGCCUUGGUGCAUAGGGAUAGCUCUGUGCCCCGGAUUUCCUGACUUCUAAAUGAGCAGCGCAAACCCACUGUGGGGUCUGGCGUGACCGUACCAGCACUGUGCCCUCAGGGCCGGGGUGUGAGCAUCCAGCCUGUGGUGGUCACACUGGGCCCACGUUGACGGGAGAGCCUGCAGACUGACUUGGGAAGAGCAGCUGAAGGACCACGGCCGUCACCCCAGCCACCGCCGUCACCCUGGCCCUGGAGAGAGCUACCUUCUACUGCUAUUUCUGAAUUUUGGCAUUGAAAACCACAAAGGCUACAUGUGCCACUCUUGGCCUCAGGGGGUGCCAUGCUGUGUGCUGGGCCCUUGGUACAGAACCCGAGGGCUGGUGUGCCACCUCUCUGACACCCAUGCACCAUGCAGAGCCCCAGGUGAAGAGCUGCUGUGACCUUCGGAGCCAGAGUCCAGGGCCUGUUCACGGUAGAGCCAGGAGCCCAAGGUUGCAGCGGCACCCGAGGACCCCUCUCCAGGCCACGUCCCCAGAACAGAGGCUGCCCAUGGCCAGUGCUGGCCGCGUCUCGGCUGCGAGGAUACGAGUCUGGGCGUAACGUGUCCUGUGUGCUCACGUGGCAAAAGGUAUCGGGAAAUGACAAGCGAAAGAGAGAAGAGGUGUGGAAGGGACGUGGAAUUCUAGAGUCGCAGGAUCCAGGACGGAUCUUGCUCAGGCUGUCGAUUAAGACGGUGAAGCAGGGGUGGUGGUGGCGGGGGCGGGGGCUUCCACGGGGCCUGUCUAACCUCAUACUUGAAUUUGCCAGAUCAGGAAGCCUGGGUAUUCACACAAUAGCCCUGGGAGAGUGAGCCAAGUGUCCGUCAGUGGACGAGUGGACAGACAGAACAGCCACCCGUGAAAUGGACCACUGUUCAGCCUUAAAGACAAGGAAAUUCCGACACCUGCUGUGGCCUGGGAGAACCCUGAGGACCUUGCACUGUGUGAAACGCCCAAUUGCUGAAGGAAGUGCCCUGUAGUCCCAUCUAUGGGGGGUCCCUGGGGUCACUGCUGUCCGAGAGACAGG